GGGUGCGAGCGUUAAUCGGAAUUACUGGGCGUAAAGCGCGCGUAGGCGGCUUUGCAAGUCGGGUGUGAAAUCCCCAGGCUUAACCUGGGAACUGCAUUCGAGACUGCAUUGCUAGAGUAUGGGAGAGGGAAGUGGAAUUUCCGGUGUAGCGGUGAAAUGCGUAGAUAUCGGAAGGAACAUCAGUGGCGAAAGCGACUUCCUGGACCAAUACUGACGCUCAUGUGCGAAAGCGUGGGGAGCAAACAGGAUUAGAUACCCUGGUAGUCCACGCCAUAAACGAUGAGAACUGGAUGUCGGGAGGGUCUGCCUCUCGGUGUCGUAGCUAACGCGUUAAGUUCUCCGCCUGGGGAGUAGGGCCGCAAGGUUGAAACUCAGAGGAAUUGACGGGGACCCGCACAGGCGGUGGAGCAUGUGGUUUAAGUCGAUGCAACGCAAGAACCUUACCUGGUCUUGACAGCCCAUGAACCCCGCAGAAAUGUGAGGAUGCGUUCAUGGUGCUGUAGACAAGUGCGGGAUGGGUGUUGUCAGGCCGUGGUAGGCAAGGGGGGGGAGAUGUUGGGA
This 561-nucleotide ribosomal RNA is filed under the name uncultured bacterium. Its description in RNAcentral is "bacterial SSU rRNA". It matches the Rfam family "Bacterial small subunit ribosomal RNA", at positions 530 to 1080 of the family's 1533-position model. The record is from RNAcentral.